GUCCAUGUAGUAUAUAAAUUACACUGGUCUUGUAAGCCAGAAAAGGGGAUAUGUCCCCCAUAGACU
This 66-nucleotide transfer RNA is filed under the name Choeroniscus minor (lesser long-tailed bat). RNAcentral describes it as "tRNA-Thr". The record is from RNAcentral. Lineage: Eukaryota; Metazoa; Chordata; Mammalia; Chiroptera; Phyllostomidae.